CAUUAUGAAAUGAUGCAGCAUCUAGGGAUGGUCAGUGGGGUGACACUGGCAUGUUAUUUUGGAUAAAGUGAUAUAAUAAUGCCAUUACCAAAACUAGUCAAAACCAUAUGCCGAGAUAGGGACAAGGUUCAUGAACAUGAUAGUUUUAAAUAUUAACCUAAACUUUAUAGCUUGCUCCAUCCUAAAGACACCUUUGUGCUAUAUAGGUUUAGCUUCCCCUGUUGAAAGGGA
RNAcentral lists this long non-coding RNA (231 nucleotides) under Capsicum annuum. Its description in RNAcentral is "long non-coding RNA (CANN_LNC006692)". Lineage: Eukaryota; Viridiplantae; Streptophyta; Magnoliopsida; Solanales; Solanaceae. The record is from RNAcentral.